Molecule: unclassified non-coding RNA, 404 nt
Filed under: air metagenome
Description: partial contains small subunit ribosomal RNA, internal transcribed spacer 1, and 5.8S ribosomal RNA
Rfam family: Eukaryotic small subunit ribosomal RNA (bases 1-46)
Source: RNAcentral
AAGUCGUAACAAGGUAACCGUAGGUGAACCUGCGGUUGGAUCAUUAAAAAUAUUGGGCUCCUGGUAGCAUGGUUCCUUGGUUUUUCCAAUUGGCAACCUGCCGCUCAGAUAGUCCGUGCAGCCUCUGAAUCCAAGCAAGGUGAUGCGUCCCUUCCAUUUGCAAGUUGUAAGUGUUGGGGAUGCUCCAUCAAGCUUGCGAUUCUCAGUGACUAGCUAAACACCUUUUGUGAACUGUUUCGUCCCUGGCGGGGGGGCAUAGCAAUUUAUAUGCUAUGUCUGUCAACAUGUUUUUCAUGUCGUGGACAUCCCGUCAACCCUUUUUUAAAACAUUUUCUAUUUAAACUGUCUGACAUUACUUGUAUCAAAAUACAAAACAACUUUUGGCAACGGAUCUCUUGGCUCUC